GCCAGUAUCUACCCACCCUGAAGGCACCUAAUCUGAUCUGAUCUCGUGAAGCUAAGCAGGUUCGGGCCUGGUUAGUACUUGGAUGGGAGAUCACCUGGGAAUACCGGGUGCUGCAGACU
Molecule: ribosomal RNA, 119 nt
Filed under: Piliocolobus tephrosceles (Ugandan red Colobus)
Lineage: Eukaryota; Metazoa; Chordata; Mammalia; Primates; Cercopithecidae
Source: RNAcentral